UAGGGAAUUUUCCACAAUGGGCGAGAGCCUGAUGGAGCAAUACCGCGUGAUGGAUGAAGGCUCUAGGGUCGUAAACAUCUUUUUAUCUGUGACGAAUAUGACGGUAGCAGAUGAAUAAGGAUCGGCUAACUACGUGCCAGCAGCCGCGGUCAUACGUAGGAUCCAAGCGUUAUCCGGAUUUACUGGGUGUAAAGAGUUGCGUAGGUGGCAGAGUAAGUAAAUAGUGAAAUCGUGCGGCUCAACCGCAUACCCAUUAUUUAAACUGCUCAGCUUGAGAGUGAGAGAGGUAGAUGGAAUUGCUAGUGUAGGAGUGAAAUCCGUAGAUAUUAGCAGGAACACCGAUGGCGUAGGCAGUCUACUGGCUCAUUUCUGACACUAAGGCACGAAAGCGUGGGGAGCAAACGGGAUUAGAUACCCCUGUAGUCCCUGAGCGGGCUGGCAAGGCGCAU
RNAcentral lists this ribosomal RNA (449 nucleotides) under uncultured bacterium. RNAcentral's name for it is "bacterial SSU rRNA". It matches the Rfam family "Bacterial small subunit ribosomal RNA", at positions 355 to 825 of the family's 1533-position model. The record is from RNAcentral.